RNAcentral lists this long non-coding RNA (756 nucleotides) under Nicotiana tabacum (common tobacco). RNAcentral's name for it is "long non-coding RNA (NTAB_LNC012346)". Lineage: Eukaryota; Viridiplantae; Streptophyta; Magnoliopsida; Solanales; Solanaceae. The record is from RNAcentral.
AAUUCAGUUUAGGGUUUAAAACCCUAAUGUUGACUGAAUGGAAAAAGUUCAGUGUAGGGUUUAAAACCCUAAUGCUGACUAAUGGAAAAGUUCAGUUUACGGUUUAAAACCCUAAUGCUGACUAAAUGGAAAGAGUUCAGUUUAGGGUUUAAAACCCUAAUGCUGACUAAAUGGAAAGAGUUCAGUUUAGGGUUUAAAACCCUAAUGCUGACUGAAAGGAAAAAGUUCAGUUUAGGGUUUAAAACCCUAAUGCUGACUAAAUGGAAAGAGUUUAGUUUAGGGUUUAAAACCCUAAUGCUGACUGAAUGGAAAAAGUUCAGUUUAGGGUUUAAAACCCUAAUGCUGACUAAAGGAAAAGUUCAGUUUAGAGUUUAAAACCCUAAUGCUGACUAAAUGGAAAGAGUUCAGUUUAGGGUUUAAAACCCUACUGUUGACUGAAAGGAAAAAGUUCAGUUUAGGAUUUAAAACCCGAAUGCUGACUGGACGGAAAAAGUUCAGUUUAGGGUUUAAAGCCCUAAUGCUAACUAAAGGAAAAGUUCAGUUUAGGGUUUAAAACCCUAAUGCUGACUAAAUGGAAAGAGUUUAGUUUAGGGUUUAAAACCCUAAUGCUGACUGAAAGGAAAAAGUUCAGUUUAGUGUUUAAAACCCUAAUGCUGACUGGAUGGAAAUAGUUCAGUUUAGGGUUUAAAACCCUAAUGCUGACUAAAGGAAAAAUUCAGUUUAGGGUUUAAAACCCUAAUGCUGACUAAAUGGAAA